Molecule: long non-coding RNA, 263 nt
Organism: Fukomys damarensis (Damara mole-rat)
Lineage: Eukaryota; Metazoa; Chordata; Mammalia; Rodentia; Bathyergidae
Exons: 3
Source: RefSeq, a predicted model, not a curated record
CGCAAACCCUCAGCUCUGUCCUCCAGUCCUGCAGUCAUCGCAGAGGUUCUCUACUGUGUUCCCCUGCUCCACACACGCAGGAGAGAAGGCAAGGAUGAGAAAUAGGGGAAAUGCAGAAGGAGAUGGUAGGGCGAAGGAAGAGAAUGAGGAAAGAAAAUGAAAAGGCUUUCCAUCGGACCCGUCAGAUACGGGAAAUAGGAGGAAAAUCUCUGCAGGGCAAGAGCUGCCGAGAACACCGCGUCACUCCGUCCCCGCAUCCCUGA